This 705-nucleotide ribosomal RNA is filed under the name Triticum aestivum (bread wheat). RNAcentral describes it as "partial small subunit ribosomal RNA". Lineage: Eukaryota; Viridiplantae; Streptophyta; Magnoliopsida; Poales; Poaceae. The record is from RNAcentral.
AUGAACAUCCACGAUGAUGAGAUCAUAGAAGAAAUGAACCUGCUCAUCUUGACGAGUAAUCGGCACGGCAACAGCUAUAACCGUGGCAGCGUCCCCCAGUUCUGGUACCCUCCUUCAAAGACACCGGCUGAGAAGGCAGCAUGGAAGUUUGCAGAGGAAAAUGGAUUGGAUGUGGUUGUGGUCAAUCCAGGGACUGUUUUGGCCCCGAUGAUUCCGCCAAGGAUCAAUGCUAGCAUGGCCAUGUUUCUUCGCUUAAUCUUGACAAUGCUCUGGGCGAUUGCCAAGGAGAAGCAGCAGCUACUGAGAGGCAUAGAAGCGAAGACUCUGGACACCGUAUAUUUGUUUUCACAUGUAACCCUUGGUCAAAUUGAAAGUUCUUUUGAAUAUGGCAAUGCCACCUCCAUCAAUCCACCUACCCUCCACAACCGGCCUAAUUGUCGAUGCUGGCACCCCCACGGCCAGCGUCGCCGCCUCGUCAUUGCCACCCGACCAUUUUUGACUUGGGCGGUUGCUCCUUGCGAAUUGGUUCACACCACCCCGGCCAUCUCUCUACCCCAUUCCCCCUUUCGCACACCCAACAAAAACUCUGGAGGUCGUCAUUUGAACUGUCGAGAUGCCGUCACUCUACCCCUCCCACGUAUCAUUUCAUCUUUGGCUCGCCCAGUCGCCUCCUUGCGAAACCCGGCGAAUUUCCUGAAAACUUAG